UACGUAUGGGGCAAGCGUUAUCCGGAUUUACUGGGUGUAAAGGGAGCGUAGGCGGCGGGGCAAGCCUGAUGUGAAAGCCCGGGGCUCAACCCCGGGACUGCAUUGGGAACUGCCCUGCUGGAGUGCCGGAGGGGCAGGCGGAAUUCCUAGUGUAGCGGUGAAAUGCGUAGAUAUUAGGAGGAACACCAGUGGCGAAGGCGGCUUGCUGGACGGUGACUGACGCUGAGGCUCGAAAGCGUGGGGAGCAAACAGG
This 253-nucleotide ribosomal RNA is filed under the name uncultured bacterium. RNAcentral's name for it is "partial 16S ribosomal RNA". It matches the Rfam family "Bacterial small subunit ribosomal RNA", at positions 524 to 776 of the family's 1533-position model. The record is from RNAcentral.